UGCAGCAAGCAGCAAGUUCUGUCCUGGUGACCUUUAGAAAGAGUCCUUUAAACAAGGGAGUGACCUUCCUUGCUUAUUUAGAAACUCUUCCAGUGGGAAUUUUACAUUGCUUUAUGCAACCCAAAUGUAGAGGUUAUAUUUAAAUGAUACAAAAUACUUUGCUACAAUUGGAUUCUAAACUCAGAAUUAUUGCCAUUUUUUACCUACGCAAAUUUCAAAAGAAAUUCUUUUCACCCCCUCCAUCACUUGUCACAGCAUGUAUGUUCAUCUUCCUUGGUGUCCAUCUCCUAAAUGCCGGUAAUCCCACCCAGUCUUGGUAUCAAGCAAAAAUAACCUUGUAACUUUUCAAAAUGGAUCCUUGGGAGUGGUGCCACCCUCUCUCUGUAGGAGCCCAUGGCCUAGAGGCAUUAAAAUUCCAAACUGAUUUUCUAAAGUGCCUACACAAACUUUGGGAAGUCAGGCUGUGGAAAGCAAGACCGUGGACUCAGCGAGCUACCAGGGGAUGUCAGGAAGUGAAGUAGCAGCUUGCAGUGUUCACCUGAGCAACACUGGCCGUUUGUGAUGGAGCCUUGCCCAGCCCCUCACCAACAGUGAGAGGUGGAGGGAUGGGAACAUAGGAGGGGCUGAGUGAGAUGCAAAAGUUUUGUUUUCCAUGUGAGGGCCGAUGUCUAUGAGGUCUGAGGAUAAGUAUCUUUUGCACACUUGACAACACAAUGAAGAGUGUCUGUAGGGGAUGGCAGGUUGAAGUGGGGAUCCCUGUGGCAAUUUUAGUCACUGGCAGGAUUAAGAAGAAGGAGAAACAGGCUUGGAGCAUCUUUGGCUUGCUUUGGAUGUGAAAGGGACUCAAAAAGAGGUCACAAGACAUCCGAGGUGAGGGAAAUGCAUGGGAAAGGAGUGGCCAGGGAAUGAGUGGGAAAAGAGAGGGUCUUUUGCAGCUGCAUGUGCAGUUUGGGGCAAGGACACAUGUUCUAACAGGCCUGGCUUCUGACAGCUUGCAGCAGUCUGUACCACACAGCAGCCCGGAGGGAGUUGAAGGAGCCACGCAGAGCAGCCUGGGAAAGAUGCAGCCUGCAACAAGGGGCCAGCACAUCCCAAAACCCUCAUCACACCAGUCAUCCAUUCAGUGAACAGUUUUUCAUUCACCGUCACCAUGAAGGACUCCUCCUGACCCCUGCCACCAUAUGAUGACAGAAGCCACACUUCAGCUCACUAAACUGGAGAUGAUCUGGGGUGACAGUGCAGGUGGAGGCUUGUGAGAAGAGCUCAGUGAGAAGGGGAAGUGUGAUCAUCUUUACUAAGACUGAAGUGUGAGUACACUUGUACCCUCCGUGCUGUCAUGACAGGGGAGGAGACAAGGCAAGGACAGUGCUGAGGAGACACGAUUUUGACAUGUUUCCUGGCAGCUUAACAUCAUCCAGCCGGAUGCAGACAAAAGCAGCUCACGUGCGGGUGUGGUCACUCACGCCUGUAACCCCAGCAUCCACAGGACAAGGCAAGGAGCUCCAUGGCUCCGUACUGAGUUCCCGGACAGCCUGGAGUAAGAAGUGAAACUCUGCUUUAAACAAACAAAAUUUCCCCAGCGGCAACUCAGUGGCUUCCCAUGGAAUGACACCGUGGAAUUCCUCUAGGAAAACUUGACUUCGGUUCUUCCGGCUAGUAUCCAGCUAGCUGAAACUUGUUUAAACUUCAGCUUUCUCUAGAUGGCACAACCAGGCCAGAAUUUGUCUAUUUAAUGUGCAUAUGGAUGAUUUAAAAACUCACCCUGAAGCUCACUUAUGAGCAUAGCUUUUGAAGAAAGUGCCCUGUGAUCCACGCAUUCCCAUUGGUCAUGAGUGAGUAGUAUAAACAAUUAAGAGGUAGAAAAUGUACAGAAAAUAAAAAUAUCCCUAGUGCCAUGAAGUCAGGGAAGGCAACCGCAGGGCCUAGCCUGUGUCACCCACACACGUGCUGCACAUUGGUUGGGUCACAAGCCUCCGGAGUGCGCUGUGAAGGAAACUAAAUCUUUUCCUAACCAUGGCUCCUCUGGACUGCUGGCUCCUCCUUUGCCCUCAGGGGCACCCACCCAUCUGACAAGCUUUCCCACCAGAGGGGUUUGCGUGCCAUGCUGGGCCCAGCUCAGCUCCCACAGCUAUAAAUAGACCCUUCUUGGAUCCUGGAAGGAUCCAGAGGCACCAGAAAUACAGCAGUAUGAGUUGGGAUGGCCAGGAAGUGGCGAAGGCCUCAGAUACAAGUUGACUUGAAGCCAAGACCUCACUUUUUUCUUUUUCCCCUCAAAAGGGAUUAGCAAUGGGUCCCUGGUGAUCUCUCCUCUCUUGCUGUCAUUUCAUGCCUACGGCCUCCUGUUUUCUCCUGCUUACCGGCAAGCUCGGUUUGAUUCUAGCCGUGGCUCUCUGUAGCAUUGUUCUCCUGGGUGCCUGUGGUUCAUGGAGUUGUUUUUGCCUAUGGUAUUCUACGUGGGUAUUUAAUAUAGAUUGCACAUAUAUAUGUAUAUAUGUAUGUAUAACACGUGUAGAAAAAUAAUAGAAAAUGAUGAACUUGCAAUAAUGACUAGAGAGUGUUUAUUGUAAAAACAAUGGAAAAUAAAGAAAAAGGAUCUAAAAUACGAAUAGAA
This is a long non-coding RNA of Meriones unguiculatus (Mongolian gerbil), 2611 nucleotides long. RefSeq lists it as uncharacterized. NCBI's taxonomy places the organism in Eukaryota, Metazoa, Chordata, Mammalia, Rodentia, Muridae. The transcript is spliced from 2 exons. The record is from RefSeq and is a predicted model, not a curated record.